UACAGAGGUCUCAAGCGUUGUUCGGAUUCAUUGGGCGUAAAGGGUGCGUAGGUGGCGCUGUAAGUCGGGUGUGAAAUCUCGGAGCUUAACUCCGAAACUGCAUUCGAUACUGCCGUGCUUGAGGACUGGAGAGGAGACUGGAAUUUACGGUGUAGCGGUGAAAUGCGUAGAUAUCGUAAGGAAGACCAGUGGCGAAGGCGGGUCUCUGGACGGUACUGACGCUGAGACGCGAAAGCGUGGGGAGCGAACAGG
RNAcentral lists this ribosomal RNA (252 nucleotides) under uncultured bacterium. Its description in RNAcentral is "partial 16S ribosomal RNA". It matches the Rfam family "Bacterial small subunit ribosomal RNA", at positions 524 to 776 of the family's 1533-position model. The record is from RNAcentral.